Molecule: ribosomal RNA, 253 nt
Filed under: uncultured prokaryote
Description: partial 16S ribosomal RNA
Rfam family: Bacterial small subunit ribosomal RNA
Source: RNAcentral
ACGGGGGGUGCGAGCGUUGUCCGGAAUCACUGGGCGUAAAGGGCGCGUAGGCGGGCGAUCAAGCGUGCGGUGAAAGCUCGGGGCUCAACCCCGAGUCGGCCGUGCGAACUGCUGGGCUCGAGCACUGUAGAGGCAGGCGGAAUUCCGGGUGUAGCGGUGGAAUGCGUAGAGAUCCGGAAGAACACCGGUGGCGAAGGCGGCCUGCUGGGCAGUGGCUGACACUGAGGCGCGACAGCGUGGGGAGCAAACAGGA